Molecule: ribosomal RNA, 468 nt
Filed under: uncultured bacterium
Lineage: Bacteria
Description: partial 16S ribosomal RNA
Rfam family: Bacterial small subunit ribosomal RNA
Source: RNAcentral
GACGAACGCUGGCGGCGUGCUUAACACAUGCAAGUCGAACGGAAAGGCCCUGCUGUUGUGGGGUGCUCGGGUGGCGAACGGGUAAGUAACACGUAAGUAACCUGCCCUUGACUUUGGGAUAACUUCAGGUAACUUGGGCUAAUACCGGAUAGGAGCUCCUGCUGCAUGGUGGGGGGUGGAAAGUUUGGGCGGGUGGGGAUAGACUAGCGGCUUAUCAGCUUGUUGGUGGGGUAGUGGCUUACCAAGACUGUGACGGGUAGCCGGCCUGAGAGGGUGACCGGCGACCUUGGGCCUGAGAUACGGCGCAGAGGCCUACGUUAGGCAGCAGUGGGGAAUAUUGCACAAUGGGCCGAAGCCUGAUGUAGCAACGCUGCGGGCGGGAUGACGGCCUUCGGGUUGUAAACCGCUUUUGCCUGUGACGAAGCGUUAGUGGCGGUAAUGGGUAAAUAAGCACCGGCUAACUACGUG